Molecule: RNA transcript, 5974 nt
Organism: Quercus robur (English oak)
Lineage: Eukaryota; Viridiplantae; Streptophyta; Magnoliopsida; Fagales; Fagaceae
Gene name: disease resistance protein RUN1-like
Exons: 10
Source: RefSeq, a predicted model, not a curated record
CUAUACCAGCGUUGCCUACACCUCUAACUAUUCAUCUUACUAGAGCUAGCUCUACGUUCCUUGCCAUAGGGCAUUCUUCUUACAGAAAGUAAGACCUUAUAAAGCUCUGAUAACUCUCUUUCCAGGUUUCCAUUUUCCUUGCACUGCAACUUCCUUUGUAACUUUUCCACAAAAAAGCUUGUUACUAAGUUUCCAAUGGCUUCCACUAGCUCCGAAACACCCUCUUUACCUGGUUCGAACUACGUUGUUUUUCUCAGUUUUCGGGGUGAGGACACCCGCCAUAGCUUUACAGACCAUUUAUACAAGGCAUUUAUAUUGAGAGGCAUUGAAGCCUUUAGAGACAGCGAAAAACUCCAACUAGGACAAGAAAUUGCUUCUGAGCUGAUACAAGCAAUAGAAAAAUCCCAGUAUGCAAUUGUUGUUUUCUCAGAAAAAUAUGCCGAUUCCAAGUGGUGCUUGGAUGAACUUGCUAAAAUUGUUGAAUGCAAAAUAAAUAAGAGACUUGAAGUGGUGCCCGUCUUUUACCACGUAGAUCCCUCCGACGUGCGGAAGCAGACUGGGCCAUUUGAAAAAGCCUUUGACGAACAUCAGAAAAAUGACAAAAUCGACAGAGAGAAGAUUCAAAAAUGGAAAGAUGCUAUGAGAGAAGUGGGGAGUUUAUCCGGCGAGCAUUUACGUCCACAACCACAUCAAAGGUCUGAGGCAGAAUGUAUCCAAGACAUUGUGGAAGAGGUAUUAAAUAAAUUGAGAAAUACAGCACAUACCACGGAACUAAUAGGAAUGGAAUCCCGAGUUGAGAAAUUGAAAUCAUACUUAACUAUAGAGUCAAAUGAUGUUCGCAUUAUAGGAAUUUGGGGGACAGGAGGAAUGGGUAAGACAGCUCUUGCAAGAGUUGUUUAUAGUAUGGUUUCCAAUCAUUUUGAAGCUUGCUGUUUUAUUGCUAAUGUUAGGGAAGAAUCUGAAAAAUGUGGUUUAUGCAAGUUACAAAAAAAACUUUUGAAAAAACUUUUGAUGCUAAAAAAUUUGAAUUUGAAUCUACAAGAUGUUGAUGAUGGAGUUCAAAUGAUCAAGAAUAGGCUACAUAACAAAAAGAUUCUUCUUGUUCUUGAUGACGUAAAUGAAUUAGACCAAUUGAAGAAGUUAGCAGGGGAUCAUUGUUGGUUUGGUUCAGGUAGUAGAAUUAUGAUAACAACAAGAGAUAGGCAUUUGUUAGUGUAUCAUGAAGGAACUGAAAUAUAUGAGGCUGAAGUAUUGAAUCAUGAUGAAGCUCUUAAACUUUUUAGUUUGAGAGCUUUUAAAAUGGACCAUCCAACUGAAGAUUAUGGAAAGCUAUCUCAAGCUUUUGUAGAUUAUUGUAAGGGGCUUCCUUUGGCCCUUGAAAUUUUGGGUUCUUUCUUGUUCAAAAGAAGCAUUGAUGAUUGGGAAAGUGAAUUGAAUAGGCUCAUCGAAUUUUGUGAUAGAGGAAUUCUCAAUGUGCUUCAAAUAAGUUUUUAUGGACUACGACAAACAGAGAAGGAAAUUUUCUUAAAUAUUGCAUGCUUUUUUAAUCACAAGAAUGGAGAUGACGUCAUAAAAAUACUAGACUAUCUUAGGCUUCAUGCUAGAAUUGGAUUGAGCGUUCUUAUUGACAAGUCUCUCAUUAAAUUGCAUGAAAAUCAAUUGUGGAUGCAUGAUUUACUACAAGAAAUGGGUCGAGAUAUAGUUUGUCAAGAGUGCAAAGAUCCUGAGGAACGUAGUAGAUUGUGGUCAUUUGACGACAUCAACAAUGUGCUGACAGAAAAUACGGGAACAAAGAAAAUUCAAUGCAUAGGACUAGAGAUGCAUGAACCAAAAAAUGUAGAAUGGAAUCCUGAGGCCUUUUCAAAGAUGCAAAAUCUAAAAUUGCUUAAAAUUUGUGGUGUUCAACUUAUGCAUGGUCUCAAACAUCUUCCUAGGAGCUUAAGAGUUCUUGAAUGGAGAGAGUACCCUUCAAAAUCGUUGACAUCAAGUUUCCUAUCAAAGUGUUUUGAGAAUUUGAAAUUCAUUGCUCUAAAGCUUACUGAAGGCCCAGACAUCAAUAACGUCCCAAAUCUUAAGAGUUUGGUUCUUCAAAAUUGUAUAAAUUUACGUAGGAUUCACCCAUCAAUUGGAAUUCAUAAAAAGCUUACUAUUCUUGAUUUAAGUGGGUGCAAGAACCUCACAAGUCUUCCAAGCAAGUUUGAAAUGGAGUGUGUUAAGGAACUUAAUCUUGCUUGGUGCUCAAAAAUAACAAAACUUCCAGAAUUCAGCAGAAACAUGAAAUGUGUACGCCGUAUUUUUUUAACUGGUGCUGCUGCAAUUACAACACUACCCACGUCAAUUGAGAAUUUGGCUGCCCUACGCUACCUUUAUUUGAUAGAUACUGCAAUUACAACACUACCCACGUCAAUUGGGCAUUUGGCUGCCCUAAGCAUCCUUAAGUUGGGUGGUUCUGCAAUUACAACACUACCCACUUCAAUUGAGCAUUUGACUAACCUUGGUGAGUUGGAAUUAACUAAUUGCAAAAAUCUUGUGCAUUUACCUGAUACCGUUUUUAAUUUAAAGUUGGUUAGAGUAGUCAAUCUUGAGGGAUGCUCAAAACUGGAUAGACUGCCAGAGAACCUAGGGAAUGCCGAAAGUCUAAGGUGUUUGGCAUUGGGCGAAACUGCUAUAAGAAAGGUCCCUUCUUCCAUUGGUCUCUUAAAACAUCUUGUUGAGCUAACUAUCAAUGGAUGUAAGGGGUUAUCAUCUAAUAAAUCGUGGUAUGAGCUCCUCCCUUUUUGUUCAAUGCCAACAAGUCCUCAUCCCAUCGACUUGCUAUUCUCUUCUCUAUCUCUGUCACCUGCGUCUUCUUUAUUCUGGUUAGAUUUAAGUUACUGCAAUCUCAAGGCAAUCCCCAAUGAUAUUGGUUCCUUAUUCAAUUUAUAUGAAUUGGAUCUAAGUGGAAAUGAUUUUGUUUGCCUUCCGGAAAGCAUCAUUCGACUUUCGGAAUUGACAUGGUUGAAGUUGAAUAAUUGCACAAGUCUUCGAUCAUUGCCAAAGCUUCCAUUGAAAGUUAACUUGGUUGAGGCAGAAGGUUGUAUCUCACUGGAAAUGUUAACAGAUCCAUUAAAACCAAGCGAUUCAUUGGAACCACGAUCUCUCGGUCUUCAAAAUUGCUUUAAAUUGGCUGACAAUCAAAGCUGCAUAGACUGGUUUAUCUCAGGGAUAAAAAAGUACCUCAAGCUCACUCCCUCUCUCCCUCUCUCAGUCAUAAAAACCAAUCCUUAUAAUCCAUAUGCCAUUGUUAUUCCUGGAAGUGAAAUUCCUGAGUGGUUUAGCCACCAAAGCAUGGGGAAUGAAGUGAAAAUAAAACAACCUUCUCAUUUGUGUAAGAAGGUGGGAAUUGCUUUUUGCGUUGUGUUUUGUACGAAUAAUUUUGAUUCAUAUCCCCGUCUUGCAUAUUCGUUGAUAGCCAAUGGAAAAAGAAUUGAGAUUGAUGACUAUCACUCAAUUAAUAAGGUUUCAUCAGAUCACGUUUCGCUAGUCUAUGUGGUUCCUCAAUACUUGGACGAGGAAUCAAAUAAAUUAUUGUGGGAAGGUGACGUGAAUGGAUUCAGUCAUAUUAGAAUUAAAAUUGAAAGCAGCCGUGUCAAGGUAAAAAAAUGGGGGAUCCGUAUGAUAUACAAGAAAGACAUAGAAGAUCUUGACAGAACAAUGGUCCAGUAUAGCAACAGCAGCAUCGCUCCUUAUGAUGGCAUGGAUGUUCUCCAUCAUAAUUUCGACCAUUCGUCAGUGGUAGUGGAAUGUCACAAAGUCAAGCGUAGUCAUGAUGAUUACAAUGGGGCUGGACCCAGUGGAGAAGGAAGCUCAAAAAGGAUUAAAAGGCACACAGAAACCAAUGUUAACUCUGAUUCUGAGGAGUCAAGUGAGUUCAAGGACUGUGAUGAGGAGUUAAGCGAUUGUGAAGAAUCUAAUGAACGUAACCCUUAUGGUUAAUCAACUUUUCAGGUAACUAACAGUUCAAAAAACAAACAAAAGCCUAAACAGCCAGGAUAAGUAAAUGCAGACCAUUAGAGAGGGUUCAACUGCAACCAAUCCUGCUGGAGGAGAGCUGCAAGGGUAGGGGAUGGAAAUAGCGGGGAUCCAAUUUCUUUUUUAAAAAUAGAGAAUGUCCAUGUCCAUAGCUGCUUGUGACGAGUCAAGUGAGUGAUUAGUGACCUGAGAUUUUUUCAUUGGAAGGAAUUUUGUGAUGUGACCCAGAAGGUUAAUCAACUUUUUUCUCACUAUCACCAAGUAACUACUGGAGAGUCCCAAGGCAAGUGUGUCCAGUUGUGGAGGGAUGGCAGGUGUUGCUGACAAUUGAGGGGAUCUGGCAGAGCAGAUGCAAAUGGGGUUGUUUUGCCUAUGUAGCUAAAUAAUGGGCUGGCAGAUAAUUUUUCAGGCUGUUCUAGUAAUGCCGUAUGCAAACGAGUGGAAGCUUACUGUUUGAGUAGCAUAUUUUCCAGGCUUGUUUUGGUUAGUGGAAGAUUGGAGAACCUGUGGAAAAGAAGAAGGUUCCUUGGCAACUUGCUGUGCUGACUAAAGAACACAAGUGCAAGGAAGUUAGAGAACGCCAGUGGUGUACAUUUGCUGUGCAUGGGAGUCACUAAUGAGGCUAGAGCCCAGGUUACUCUUGCUUCCAACUCUUUUAUGAACAUUUUUUGGGCUUGUAAGUGGUGUACAUUUGCUGUGCAUGGGAGUCACUAAUGAGGCUAGAGCCCAGGUUACUCUUUUAUGAACAUAUUUGCGAGCUGCAGCUUAGCUUUGCUAUUGGCACUUAUUCCAACAACAGCAUCAUUGAAGAUUGUUGAACUUCUUGUCUUUUUUCUUAGUCAACUUUUUCUCUAUAUUACCUGAUUAUUGGACUUGUUCAUGAGGAGAAACUGUCACAUGGCCAAGAGAUAAGAAGGCAAAUGCAGUCCAUUUUAUGCUUCUGAUUUUCGCUAUCCGUAAUAGAUUGCAAGAUCAUGACCAGGCAGAGCUGAAACAAGCCAAAAGGCCUAUCUCAAAAUCAUAACUUAAUUAGCUUAUACCCUGUCAAAGAGACUUGACUAGAAUUAGAAUUAAAGGACAGCAGUAGACAGUAGAGAAACCCAACCAUACAACAAACUUGGUUAUAUAUUACUAACCACAUCAUUUGAGACAUAUGUGUCCUUACAGUAAUCAGACUCAAGCAAGCAAGCAACUGUGUAGACAAGGUUGAAAAUUGGAGAAGGUAGCCUACUUGGAUUGGACCUGGUUAGGCAGCAAUACUCUCCUAAAGUAGUGAAGUGACUGCUCAAAUUUUAGCCACCCCUAUCUCAAGGUCUGCACAGGUCUCUAAUGCACAAAAAGCGGAUCAGAGUAACUGCAGGAAAGUACCAAGGCGAGUGUGUCAAGUUGUGGAGGGUUGUAGGUGUUGCUGAAAAUUUAGGGACACUAGCAGAGAUAGUGUGAACGGGGUGGUUUUGGCUUUGUAGCCAAAUCAAGUGCUCGCAGGCUGUUGCAGUUAUUCCAUAUGCAACCAAAUGGCAUGCCGCUAGAUGCCCGUCUGUUCGGAAAGCAUUAACUAAGGCUAUACGGCUUGGUUUUUGUAGACUUGUUUCCGUAAUUUCUAUGAGUGGAGGACCUCUUUUUGAGAAGAAGGUUCCAUUUCAACUUGCUGUGCUGAUUGAAGACCACAAGUGCAUGGAAUUUGGAGAACGGUAGUGGCUGUAUAUUUUGUAGAUAAGAGAGUUGCUACAGAUGUUGGGGCCUUGCUUCAAAUUCUUUUGAACAUUUUUGGACUCUACUACCAGCCAACGCUUUAGACAUUAUUGUAUUAAUAAACCAUACCCAAAAAGAAAAUAGAAGACGAAAAGAAAGAAGUUAAAUUAACACCUUUUCUGGACUAAUUUAAGCUAUGGCAUGCAACUACAUGCAAUCAUUAACAUUGUAAGACAUCAUAUAAGAGAUUCAUGUCCUUGCGUGAAAAUCA